GCAAUGAAUUAAGAAUCAGGAUCUAGAGUCUAAUCUUAUUGCUGCCAUUUACUAAAUUAGCCCCAUGAAGCCUCAGUUUCUUUAGCUAUAAAAUGGAAAGAACAGCAGUACUUACUCAACAGGACUAUUGGGAGAAGUAAGGGACACAGUAAUUAUACGAAGCAUUUAGCAUGUGUUCCUGAUGUAGUGAAUUGCUCAAUAAUAUUAGGAAACGGGCAACAUUAUCUUCAACUCUUCUUUCUUGCUCCCCAAAACCAAUCAGUUGCUGAGUCCCUAGACUCUAUGCCUGAAGGAUCACUUCCAUUCAGCUGCUCCUCUCCUUACUGCCAGGGAAAUGAGAGCCUUGGCUGAUAAUUAGUGGACUUACAAAUAAUCAUACCCUGACUGCCACAAAAAUAACUUUCUUCUCCACCCAAUUCGUUCCUCCCCUCCCUAGUUUUCUCUUGGAGGACCUGGGUUGCUCAAGCAGAAGUCAUAUGGAUUGUAUUUCCUCUGAAUAGCUCACCAUGUAGCACAGUAAUAUCUCUGCACCUAAUUAAAUGAGUCAGGUCAAGUUUUCUGCAAGUUUUCUUCCAUCGCAGCACUAACAUUCACAUUCAGUGUAUUGCCUUAUGUAACACAAUUUCCUGCUUUCAGCCCAAAAUAAAUAAAAAGGAACCUUGCCAAUGAAAAACCAGUUAGCCCAGCCUGCUUUGCUUUGCCCAACCCCACACUCUAUGUCAACUGUUCCAUUAUAGUUUGUCUGUUUACAGGGAAGCUGCCAGUGUCUAAGACGCGAGGCAUUCAGACAAUUGUUCAGACAAUGGAUUCACAGUACCUAGAAUCCCUGUGACUCAGUUUUCCACAAAUGUGCUAUUAGGGGAAAUGUUCACAGAUCAGCAACUGUGGACUUUUGCUGGCCGCACAGACUCUGCUGAUGUGCACAAUUCCAAACUGCAAGCAGUUUCCCCACUGGAAACAAUGAGACUCACAGCAUUACACAGUUGGCAGAGAAUUUUAGAGAUAACUUAAUCUACCCCUUUGUUUUGGACACAACCCCGUUUAAACUAUUUUGGACAGAUAAAAUCCAUGCUAUGUUAAUGAAUCUUCUUCAAUAACUGCUUUCAAAUAUCCCUCCCCUCCAAAUCAGGGAGUAAUUCCCUCUGUCUGAAGCAGACAGUAUGGUUUGCUAGUCAAGAGCCUCUGCCCACUUUCUCCUGUCUGGUAAAGAGCCAGUUUGAAGGGGUUGCCCAUCCCUUCCCUACAUGUCUCGGGAUUAAUUUUUGAUCAGUCUGAGCUUGCCAGUGAUUGGCUCAGAAGGGGCAGGGGACCCAGUUCUGUGCAAUAAAGUGUAACGAGAGCUUAGCAAAAGGGAUUUUCUAAGGAUAUUCUCCUGCUCCUAAAAAAAAACUUAUAGGAAAAAUAAUCCUUAUUUUUAGCGAGGCAUGAUACUAGAGCUGUGGGAGCUCCCUUGCAUCCAUGAAGGGAGCCAGCCAAAGGCCAAACCAAAUAGUGAAAGAAAUAUAGAAGGACUCUGGAUAUUUGAUGAUGUCAUUAAGCUGCUGAAUCAACCAACCUGCGAGCCAACCUACCCCAGGAUUUCUUGUCAUGUGAGAUAGUAAAUUUUCCUUACUGGUAUGUACUGGUGACUAUAAAUUGGUACCUUGGUUGGCCAGAUCUUCGUGGGAGAUGGACAUUCAAAUCUCCAUAUCCAGAUAAAAGUCAUUCCAGAGAAUGGAACAAUAUUUCCUAUGUAAGCAUUUAGAAACAUGAACGGUAAAGAGUAGACUCUACUUUGAUCAAGCGUGCCAAACUGAAAUUAUUUCUUCUUUGAUAGAAUUAGUAGAUAGUAGAUUACAUAUCAGAGAAAGUCAUAGAAAUACUUGAUUUCAGCACACAUCAGAUAAAACUGCUUAUAAUAUUUUGGUCAACAAAACAGGAAAAUAGUGGAGAAAGAUGCAGAUACUGAAGAAGCAUAAGAUGCUAGUGGAAGACUGGUUGGUUGGCAGGUCAUGGCAUUGUAAGGGUGCCAUGACAGACAGCAAGCAGAUGUCAGUACAGGCAAGCAGCCAACAUGGAGGAGGCUUACAAGUGUCUAAUACAAACAGUGGGGCAAAUUAAAAGCAUGCUGGGAAUAGGGUGCAAAUAACUGGAAACCUUGGUAAGCAAGGAUUGGCAUCACAGAAAGAUUGACAGGUUACAAGCUUCCAAUUUUCGUGUUGGAUUUUAGGAGGAAAAAAUUAUUGUAUGGGGACUUUGGGGAAAUAAAUGAACAGAACCCAAGUUUAAUUAUUUUUAAAAAGUGGAAGUGCUCUAAUCAUAGGAUAAUCGGAGUUAAAAAGCAACUCAUCAAGAUAGUAAUUUAAGAAUAGGCCACAUGGCAGAAGCUUAGUUGUUAUACCUUGGAAGAGAGCCAAUACUAUACCAGGAGGAAACAUGACCCAAAUCUGAGUUCUGCAGUUUUAGUCUGGAGACCUUCAGAUUCCUAGGAUUGUUCCCAGACACACGGGGAGGCCAAGCCCAUAGAUGGAAAUCUCUAGAGCUUCAGCCAUAGGGAGAGUAGAUAAUACAGAGGAAAGGAAUCAGGAAAGGCUUAGCCAAACCCUGUUGAUUAAUUAAUGGAUUCAUAUCAGCUUUGUGGAAAAUCUCAAUUAUUUGUCUGAGACCUUUGUCCAUGACCCCGACCUAUUCAAAUAUUUUUAUUAUGAACUUGAAUGAAAACAAAGAAGACAUGAAAAUCAGAUGUGUGGAUAACACAAAGUUGGAAAAAACCACUAAUACGUUGGAUUCAAUAAUCAAAAAUUGAGCCUCGUUGAACCCACAACUGGUUAGUAGCUGUGGCUCUUACCACUUUUACAAUUAAAUACAUACAGCAACAGAAGAAUGUUCAAAACUCACCAUGUGGUAUACUGGAACCAUGACCAAGGACUGGCCCUUGCGAGAAAUGCGGAGGAAUUUCCUUGAAUUGCAAGAGAUUAGUGGUAGGUAGCUCCCGUGUACUCAGGAGGGGGAACCAUCCUGAUGGAAAGGGUUUGUCUCUCACCUCUUUCUGUCUUUGAAUUCCAUCCAGGAAUAUAGUCCAUUUCAGGUCAUUUUCUCUGUGUGCGUGCGUGUGUGCGUGUACGCACACGUGUGUAUGGUGAGGCCACUCAGGAUGACGUUUUUUUUCUCUAUAUAUAUGCCCUGCUUGACCGGUGCCUGCUUCACUUACUCACAUGACUCACCUUCCUACAUACCUGCCCCCGCCCCAGCUAGUGAUUGUUCUGAUCUCCUUGUGUGUGUGUGUGUGUGUGUGUGUGUGUGUUGGGGGGGUGCACAGCUGCGGCAUAUGGCAGUUGCAAGGAGGAGAGAGGGAUUGAACCCCCAGCAUAGCAGGAACCCAAGCCGCUGCAGUGACAGCGCUGGAACCUUACCCCACUGUGCCACAAGAGAACUCCCUAUUCUGAGAUCAGAACAUCUCCACCCUGACAGCUUAUCAAAGGGGUAGUGAGGGGCCUCCCCUCUGCUGUUUCCCUGAUAACUGAUGUCAGCCUGACAUCAAUGCCUCCCCCUGCCCUCAGGGAGUAAAGACUGCUGCCUUGUCCCUCUCACAGUCUGCUGCACACAGUGGGGUAAGCUCCCCAUCCAUUAAACCACUGAUGUCUCUGUAACUGACUCAGGGCUCUUUCUUUAGUCCUGAAGCUGGGCUUUUUUUUUUUUUUGUAAUGUAAAUUAAGCAAAUAUUCCUUAGCCCUCAAAUUUUGCUGGGAUUUUGGUGGGGAUUAUGUCAAUAUCAUAGAUUAUUUUGGAGAUAAGCAGAGUCUUUAUCAAGGUUAGGUUUCUCAACAUUUUUUUUUUUAACUGCUUCACUACUAGGGUACUCAAAGGGUGGUCCAUGGACCAGCUGCAUGAGCUUCACUGGGGAUGUUUUGAAAUACCCAUUCUUAGACCCUGCCCCCAAACUACUGAAUCAAAAUCUACUUAUUAAGCAGGAUCCCCAGGUGAUUUGAAUGUAAUUAAAGUUAGAAAAAUACUGCUUUAGUAGAAUUUUAAAGAUUCGUCCAAAAGAUUUUGUGCGUAUUUGUUAGGUUACUUCCUAGGUUAACGCAGUAUUUCUAAAUAGCUUUUGCAUUUUUUUUGGUGGGGGGGGGUUGUCUUUCAAGGGCCGCACCCACAGCAUAUGGAGGUUCCCAGGCUAGGGGUCUAAUCAGAGCUCUUGCUGCUGGUCUACACCACAGCCACAGCAAUGCCAGAUCCGAGCUGCAUCUGGGACCUACACCACAGCUCACGGCAACGCCGGAUCCUUAACCCACUGAGCUUGGCCAGGGAUUGAACCCACAUCCUCAUGGUUCCUAGUCGGAUUCGUUUCCACUGCGCCACGACAGGAACUUCCUAAAUAGUUUCUCUACUGGUUCUCUUCUGAGUUUUCUGGGAAUAUUUAUAUCAUCUGGAAAUAAUGGCAGCUCAGUUUCUUGACACUCGUUUCCUUCCCAUCUUUAUACGUCUUUCUCUUGAUUUCUUUUGGAGGCCAUGGCUUCCAACAUCACAGGGAAAGUGAAGGUGAGAAAGUGCUCUCACCCAUAAAGGAAAUGCUUCUAACAUUUCUUCCAUAAAUGUUAAAUUUGCGGCCAAGUUUCAGUAGAGAGCCUUAUCAGGUUAUGAGACUUCUCUAGUCUUUGUUUUCUAAACACUUUUUUCACAAGUUCACUAUUGAUUUAGAAUUUUUUUCUGCAUGCAUAAGAGAAGAUCAUGUAAUUUUUGUCCUUUGGUCCAUUAACGUGAAUUACAUGGUUUUAAUUUCUGUCUUUGAACUAUCCUGACCUUCUUGAAAUAAAUUAUAUACUCUUAUAAUUCACCCUUCGCCCUCUCUUUUAUUAGAUAAUGUAGAGUAAAGCAUAUUGCUCUUCAUAUUAAUCAAAUUAGAGGCGUUAAAGUGCAACUGAACUUUAUUUUGCUGAAAAAAUAAUUGGUUCUUAUUCUCCACUUCUUUAAUCAAAAGAACAUGGGCCAAGGCAGACACGUAAAAUUUCUCAGGGAGAUAAAUUACUCUUGUUUAUGAUUUCGAUAAAUAUUUGAAAGAAAGGAAUGAAUACGAUUGUCUUUUUCCCAUGUUUUUUGGUUCAAUAACCUAGAUACACUUGGAAGUUGACGCAUAGAGACGAAUGUGCUUGUGUGCAGCUAUCUCCAGGGUAUGACAGGGAAGUGAGCUUGCGCUCAAGCUCCUCCUUUGCUCUUUGCAUCCAAAGAUGAUGCUCUUGAUGUCAGUUACCAUCUCUCUGUAGGUGUGGCACAAAGACCAAGAUGCAAUUAUUUGAUAUAUCACUUCUAGAAGGUCUUUUCUUUGUGGCUAAAACUUCUGAUGAAUAAAGCCCAGUAUUGGAAGUUCCCAUUGUGGCAUAGCAGAAACGAAUCAGACUAGUACCCAUGAGGAUGAGGGUUCGUUCCCUGGCUUUCGCUCAGUGGGUUAAGGAGCCAGUGUUGCAGUGAGCUGUGGUGUAGGUUGCAGAUGCAGCUCAGAUGUGGUGGUGUUGUGGCUGAGGUGUAGGCCAGCAGCAGUAGCUCCGAUUUGACCCCUAGCCUGGGAACUUCCAAAUGCUGCAGGUGUGGCGCUAAAAAGCAAAAUAAAUAAAUAAAUAAAUAAAUAAAUAAAUAAAUAAAUAAAUCAAUCCCAGCGUGGUUAUGGUUAAGCGUAGAGUAGACUGAAGCCUCCACACCAAAAGCCACCCCAUUGCUCUUGUAUAACAUGCUAGGUUGGCCAGGGUUGCCUGUUCUCUGGAUGCAGAGCUGCUGAGCAAGGGCCUUGGCAGUCAGGCAUCAGUGGGUUUUUCUUCAUUACCUGAUUAUAACAGGGGAGUUCCCGUCGUGGCGCAGUGGUUAACGAAUCCGACUAGGAACCAUGAGGUUGCGGGUUCAGUCCCUGCCCUUGCUCAGUGGGUUAACCAUCUGGCGUUGCCGUGAGCUGUGGUGUAGGUUGCAGACGCGGCUCAGAUCCUGCGUUGCUGUGGCUCUGGUGUAGGCUGGUGGCUACAGCUCCGAUUC
RNAcentral lists this long non-coding RNA (5997 nucleotides) under Sus scrofa (pig). RNAcentral describes it as "lncRNA (ENSSSCG00000061252.1)". Lineage: Eukaryota; Metazoa; Chordata; Mammalia; Artiodactyla; Suidae. The record is from RNAcentral.